GGUGGCUAUCCCUCUGGAGCAUGGAACUUCUGGACUAGAAAAGGCCUGGUUUCUGGUGGAGUAUACAAUUCUCAUAUAGGUGAGUGUUUGCCUACAACUCCUGUCUCUCAGGCAUUUCAUAGGCAAGUGUCAGUGGCUUCUUUUCUAUGGUGAUGGGAAGGUAAAAGAUAAAGGGCCAGCUGAUGGGUAGUUAGCCAGACCAUCUUCAAUACAGAAGCUGCCCCGUAGGAUAUAGACAUGGUCUGGCCUGGGGGCCCCGCGGUAGGGUUGCAGGCUGAUAUCGUCUCCUCCAUUCUUCAGGCUGCUUACCCUACACCAUCCCUCCCUGUGAACACCAUGUCAAUGGCUCCCGUCCCCCAUGCACUGGAGAAGGAGAUACUCCCAAGUGCAACAAGAUGUGUGAGGCUGGCUACUCCACAUCCUACAAGGAAGAUAAGCACUAUGGGUACACUUCCUACAGUGUGUCUGACAGCGAGAAGGAGAUCAUGGCGGAAAUCUACAAAAAUGGCCCAGUGGAGGGUGCUUUUACUGUGUUUUCUGACUUCUUGACUUACAAAUCAGGCGUAUACAAGCAUGAAGCCGGUGAUGUGAUGGGAG
RNAcentral lists this long non-coding RNA (597 nucleotides) under Rattus norvegicus (Norway rat). RNAcentral describes it as "long non-coding RNA NONRATT010539". Lineage: Eukaryota; Metazoa; Chordata; Mammalia; Rodentia; Muridae. The record is from RNAcentral.